Molecule: ribosomal RNA, 347 nt
Filed under: uncultured fungus
Lineage: Eukaryota; Fungi
Description: SSU rRNA
Rfam family: Eukaryotic small subunit ribosomal RNA
Source: RNAcentral
GUAGUCAUAUGCUUGUCUCAAAGAUUAAGCCAUGCAUGUCUAAGAAUAAGCAAUUAUACAGCGAAACUGCGAAUGGCUCAUUAUAUAAGUUAUCGUUUAUUUGAUAGUGCCUGUCCUACUUGGAUAACCGAGGUAAUUCUAGAGCUAAUACAUGCUAAGAAUCCCGACUUCGGAAGGGAUGUAUUUAUUAGAUUAAAAACCAAUGCCCUUCGGGGCUCUCUGGUGAUUCAUGAUAACUUCACGGAUCGCACGGCCUUGCGCCGGCGAUGGUUCAUUCAAAUUUCUUCCCUAUCAACUUUCGAAGUUUGGGUAUUGGCCAAACUUGGUUACAACGGGUAACGGGGAAU